This 621-nucleotide ribosomal RNA is filed under the name Triticum aestivum (bread wheat). RNAcentral's name for it is "partial small subunit ribosomal RNA". Lineage: Eukaryota; Viridiplantae; Streptophyta; Magnoliopsida; Poales; Poaceae. The record is from RNAcentral.
AUGGUGAUGGGGGUCGCCUUCCUCCUCCCUCCCCUCGACGCCCUCCAUGGCAGCUGGAGGUGGGCAAGUCCGGCAAGGCAGUGUGCAUCGAAUGCCAUGGGCGCAAGUCGGAAGCUGCAGGGCGAGAUCGACCGCGUGCUCAAGAAGGUCCAGGAGGGCGUCGACGUCUUCGACAACAUCUGGAACAAGGUCUAUGACACCGCGAAUGCGAACCAGAAGGAAAAGUUCGAGGCGGACCUCAAGAAGGAGAUCAAGAACCUGCAGCACUACCGCGACCAGAUCAAGACCUGGAUCCAGUCCAGCGAGAUCAAGGACAAGAAGAUGGAGCAGGAGCCCUCCAUGGACGACAUCGACGAGGAGGAAAUCAACUCCCCAAACAAGCCGGCCAAGUCGGGUGGAGGCAAGCAGAAGAAGUGGAGCAAGGGCAAGCAAAAGGAGAAGGUGAACAACACGGUGAUCUUCGACCAGGCCACCUACGACAAGCUGCUCACCAAGGUGCCCAAGUACAAGCAGAUCAUGCCCUCCGUCCUGUCCGAGCGACUCAGGAUCAACGGGUCGCUGGCUCGCAGGGCCAUCAAGGACCUAAUGGAGAGGGGACUCAUCAGGAUGGUGUCAAUCUAG